ACGGGUGAGUAAUGUCUGGGGAUCUGCCCGAUAGAGGGGGAUAACCACUGGAAACGGUGGCUAAUACCGCAUAACGUCGCAAGACCAAAGAGGGGGACCUUCGGGCCUCUCACUAUCGGAUGAACCCAGAUGGGAUUAGCUAGUAGGCGGGGUAAUGGCCCACCUAGGCGACGAUCCCUAGCUGGUCUGAGAGGAUGACCAGCCACACUGGAACUGAGACACGGUCCAGACUCCUACGGGAGGCAGCAGUGGGGAAUAUUGCACAAUGGGCGCAAGCCUGAUGCAGCCAUGCCGCGUGUAUGAAGAAGGCCUUCGGGUUGUAAAGUACUUUCAGCGGGGAGGAAGGCGACAGGGUUAAUAACUCUGUCGAUUGACGUUACCCGCAGAAGAAGCACCGGCUAACUCCGUGCCAGCAGCCGCGGUAAUACGGAGGGUGCAAGCGUUAAUCGGAAUUACUGGGCGUAAAGCGCACGCAGGCGGUCUGUUAAGUCAGAUGUGAAAUCCCCGGGCUUAACCUGGGAACUGCAUUUGAAACUGGCAGGCUUGAGUCUUGUAGAGGGGGGUAGAAUUCCAGGUGU
This 578-nucleotide ribosomal RNA is filed under the name uncultured bacterium. Its description in RNAcentral is "bacterial SSU rRNA". It matches the Rfam family "Bacterial small subunit ribosomal RNA", at positions 102 to 676 of the family's 1533-position model. The record is from RNAcentral.